RNAcentral lists this long non-coding RNA (235 nucleotides) under Fukomys damarensis (Damara mole-rat). Its description in RNAcentral is "lncRNA (ENSFDAG00000021970.1)". The record is from RNAcentral. Lineage: Eukaryota; Metazoa; Chordata; Mammalia; Rodentia; Bathyergidae.
GUUUGAGGUCAUCUCGUUGCCUAGAAUGGAAGUUGGAACACAUUAUGCCAAAUAACUCUAUAGUGACGGACGGAAUGUACGAAUGAAGAGGGCAGAGUACCACAGAAAGCUACAUAAUGAUGCAGUGCAGAAUGGGAAAUGCCAGAUGACAAUAGUAAAGAAGGGUUGAUGCUCCGAAGAAAUUAGAACAUGUAACAUUGCUAUAAAAGGUUCUUCCACUCUUAUAAACAAGGCC